RNAcentral lists this ribosomal RNA (394 nucleotides) under uncultured bacterium. Its description in RNAcentral is "bacterial SSU rRNA". It matches the Rfam family "Bacterial small subunit ribosomal RNA", at positions 28 to 429 of the family's 1533-position model. The record is from RNAcentral.
GACGAACGCUGGCGGCGUGCUUAACACAUGCAAGUCGAGCGGUAAGGCCCUUUCGGGGGUACACGAGCGGCGAACGGGUGAGUAACACGUGGGUGACCUGCCCUUAGCUCUGGGAUAAGCCUGGGAAACUGGGUCUAAUACCGGAUAUGACCUCAUGACGCAUGUUGUGGGGUGGAAAGCCUUGUGCGGCUAGGGAUGGACCCGCGGCCUAUCAGCUUGUUGGUGGGGUAAUGGCCACCAAGCCGGUGACGGGUAGCUGGUCUGUGAGGACAGACAGCCAGACUGGGACUGAGACACGGCCCAGACUCCUACGGGAGGCAGCAGCAAGGAAUUUUCGUCAAUGGGCGCAAGCCUGAACGAGCAACGCCGCGUGGAGAUGACGGCCUGGUGUAAC